GAUAGCUGAGUCAGUAAAGCAUGAGACUCUUAAUCUCAGGGUUGUGGGUUCGAAUCCCGCGUUGGGCA
RNAcentral lists this transfer RNA (68 nucleotides) under Podarcis lilfordi (Lilford's wall lizard). Its description in RNAcentral is "tRNA.Lys". The stretch from base 3 to 60 matches the Rfam family "tRNA", at positions 8 to 63 of the family's 71-position model. Rfam says of the family: Transfer RNA (tRNA) molecules are approximately 80 nucleotides in length. Their secondary structure includes four short double-helical elements and three loops (D, anti-codon, and T loops). Further hydrogen bonds mediate the characteristic L-shaped molecular structure. tRNAs have two regions of fundamental functional importance: the anti-codon, which is responsible for specific mRNA codon recognition, and the 3' end, to which the tRNAs corresponding amino acid is attached (by aminoacyl-tRNA synthetases). tRNAs cope with the degeneracy of the genetic code in two manners: having more than one tRNA (with a specific anti-codon) for a particular amino acid; and 'wobble' base-pairing, i.e. permitting non-standard base-pairing at the 3rd anti-codon position. Lineage: Eukaryota; Metazoa; Chordata; Lepidosauria; Squamata; Lacertidae. The record is from RNAcentral.